Regulatory RNA element from Rhizobium sp. Leaf306, 68 nucleotides. It matches the Rfam family "S-element". From Rfam's summary of the family: This family represents a group of S-elements from p42d and related plasmids. The record is from Rfam. NCBI's taxonomy places the organism in Bacteria, Pseudomonadati, Pseudomonadota, Alphaproteobacteria, Hyphomicrobiales, Rhizobiaceae.
AGUCAAGAGUCUUUGGCACCGUUUCGGUGAGCGGCUUUCUUUUGCCUGAAAAAAGGUGAGAGAAAAUG